Molecule: long non-coding RNA, 16062 nt
Filed under: Triticum aestivum (bread wheat)
Lineage: Eukaryota; Viridiplantae; Streptophyta; Magnoliopsida; Poales; Poaceae
Description: long non-coding RNA (TAES_LNC016384)
Source: RNAcentral
CCUCCUUCUCUACAUCUUAUCCAUUCCUCUCCUCCCCAUUCUCUCUCAUAGCACUCUCAGAUCUAACCCUCAGCGACAGCCGUCAGAAACUUGCCAUGGAAGCUACGAAGACCGCCGCCGACUGACUCUUCCCCACGGUAUUCCUUUUGUCGCCAUUGUAUUUUACUACUCUCAUAUGUUCCCUUCUCUUACUGCAAAUUGGAUGCUCUAAUCCGAUUUCUCAUGCUUCUUUUAGAUCCACGCUUUUUUCUGCCGACCCGCCUAGCAGUUCUUGUACCACCGGUCACAAUCAUCUUCCUCAGGUCUAUAUCUAUUCCGUUCUGGUCUAAUUUACUGUUAAGCUGGCUUUGAGGCACCAAUACAUAACGUGGCUGAAACCCCUUAUGCCAGUGCUUUUGAUUUUUUUUAUCCUUAGUAUUGUGUCUGACUAGCUGAGACAUGGUGGUGUUUGAGUGUGGUCAGUCUUAAUAUCCUUUCUGUCCAAGGUAAACAAAAUAGAUGAGAGCGAUGGAUCUACCUAAUAAUUUACUUCAAUUCCACAACCCUCCUAUAAGCUGUGAAUUAUGUAUUACAAGAAAAUGAUAGUAGGCAUCCUGAUCCACCUGCAAUUAGUCUUCUCAUCACAAAAUCCAAACUGUAGCACCCACUUGUCACCUAUCAUGUUUUCUUCCCCUUCCAACCCAUACAGACUUGAGGCUGAUACUAUACUUCAAGCCAGCUCUUUGUGAUAGUGACAUUCACUCUCGUUUGCGGUAGGUCCGGACAAUGGCUUGUGUUCCAAUUUCGUCUAAGAUCCUGCUUGAUGCUAUGUUAGAGAAGGUUGGCCUUCCAGAGGCCACCUACUCAGCAAGCCCAAAAGAUGAUAGCCGUCUGCAAGUCACCGUUACCUUCUAUCCAAUCAAGAUCAGGCUCAAGGGUUCACCUGUCAAGGUUUCCCUUUCUACCUCGGACCACCAAGAUCUGGAGGAAGCUCAAGAUUAUGUAGCUGCUGUAGCAAUUAAGUACAUGGAUGCUUAUGAGGGCGUGGUUCCAAAAGACUACAUCUAUGAUCAACUGAAGGCUGUGGAAAAAACAAAUGCACUAUUGUAUGAGCAUCUCAAGGCAAUGAAGAGGGACAACACAUGUCUGAGACAGAAGCUAAAAGAGAGCAUUGGCAAAAACAAACUCCUGAGCAAAGGAUGGGAUGGAUCCCUGGACACAGAACAGAGCGUCGUCAACAAUCUUAAGCAUUUGGUCAGCAGCAGGAUGAGUCCAGGAUCUGCUCCAUAUGACCUAGAGCUUAACAAUGUUCUUCUCAAUGUAGAGGCCAACGGUGAAUAUCUUCAGCAGUACACCGAUGAGGCAAUGGUUAACCUUCAAGAGACUGGCGUUUAUCCGUAUGGUCAGGAACAACCAACAGAUGAAGAUGGAGGUCUGUCAACCCAAAGCGAUGGAAAUCCACCGUCACACCCAGAAUUAAGGACCUCAUUUUAUGAUGAGGAGAUCUUUGAUAACAAAGGGUGCUGCUCUAAUGACUUUCGUGCCCUGCCUGAAGAUCGCUUCUAAUCUCAUAAGGACCAUCAGAUCGGCAUCAUCAUCGUUAGAGCUAGUCGUUGUUUCCUACUAAUAUAAUUAUCUAUAGCCCUAUGUCGUGUGUGUCCUAUCGAACCAUGCUACAAUCAGUGCGUCCGAAUCUAUCUAUUUGGUUGUGAUUGUUUGUAUGUAAGUGUGCACCUGAUAAUGUAAUCUACCGUAUCGAACCAUAUCCUAUCGAACCAUGCUACUCUCAGUUAUGCAGCAUAUGCUACCAAAGCUUCGUGCUUUGUCUGUUUGUUUUGCUGCACGCUGUUGUAUUUGAAUCGUGUGUUGAAUUGCAUUUCUAUGCUUUCAAAUUUACCUGAGCAUUCUGCCUUUACUAUCAUACUUCUGUUACUUUCCUUACAUAGGUCCCUAUGAUUGCCUUUAAAUAGUUUUAACCUGUGCUUUAUUCCCAUGUCACUCAAGUUUUAUUUAGCUCCGUCCUGCGGACAUUGCCAGCUCAAUGGAUGAUGAUGAUUUCAUAGUCAAGGGGCUUCCACAGGUUACGGCUAGGCCAUGCAUAUGCUUCAACAUUCUUCGUGUUACUGUAUCCAAUUGACUUGAUAAACUCUUUUGUCUUCCUAUUGAAUGCAGCUCUCUGCCAUCUCUGUUACCAUUAGCAGAAAGUAUAUGCUUGAACAGGCUAUCAAGCGGAUCCGCGCUACAAUUCAUGCAUUUGAGCUUACUGAUGAUGACGACGGCACAGCAAUGGCAUCAGUGAAAAUUGAUCUACAGCCCCACAACAAAAGCAUCUUGCCAACCCAACAGGUGUUCUUUGGGGAAUCAACUCAAUUUGCCAGCGACGCUAUUGAGUCAACAUGUUCUGCUGCUUUGUCCUAUCUGUUGACAACGGGCAUAAUUACGAUAGAUGAUUACAACUCAGCGGAUCUCAAUAAUUGCCAGAGACAACUCAAAGCUGAGCAGUUCUGGUCAUCAGAGCUACAUGAUCGUGUGGAGUCAUUUCAAAAACAGCUCAGCUCCUUGGCUACGACAAAGAGGCCUCGUUUAGAGAGUAAUGAUAAUAGCACUCCAACAGCUAAAUGUGUGAAUGCAUUAGAGGUAAACAUUGCUUUGCUUUGCUCUCCACUUGCGUUCCUCCAAUACCACAUACCAUUUUACAUACAAUUGCUCAUUGACUUGUAGGAUGGCCUCAACGACACUCCCAGUUCGCUGCCGCUAAACAAACAAACAUCAACCAGGUAACAUGCCUUCCCUCCUGCUCUUUAGACUCAUGCAAUUAUAUACAUUACUCAUGUCUAUUGCUUUCCCAGUGAAACAGAUCACAGCUCCAGCAAAGAAACAAAAUCUUAGCCUGUUGCCCGCAGAGCUUUACUCUUUAAAGACUAAAUGCACGGAUCACAUGUAAGACAACUUCUAGAAUCAUUUCCUGUGUAGCAUUUUCAAAUGCACUGCCUAGACCUUGCUCGCCUUACAUACGGUUCUGUGCUUAUCCUUAUAAGUUGGUGCACAAAUCCCGGUCCUGCACUAUUAAUAUAUGCACUUUCUUUUAGAAUUGAGCAUACCGUGCUUGUCAUUAGCACUCUCGUUACAACAUCUACAUCUCUCUUUACACAAGAUUGUCAUAGCCCUAGCUUUAGCUUUGCUUGUGAGCUAGUCAUGUGUUGCAUCAUGUUUAAAUUUCAGUGAAACUUGAAAUGGGGAUUGCCUAAACCCUAGCAUCAAAGGAAUUCACUAGGUUCAACUAAAUAUUUUCAGUGAACCCAAAUGGCUUCCAAAAAUGUUCAUCAUUUCUGGAAAAUGCUGGAAACAUAACCAGGGGUGUUGCACAUUUUUCCAUGACAUAUUUGGGCUCUGAAUUAAAUCUUAUAGUAUUUGCAUUUGGACAUUUAAAUGCUAUUAAAUAUUUUAAAUGCUCAAAUAAUCACAAACUAAAAUGUUUACUGUUGGAUAUAUUCCAAACAGUAGUCAUGAUUAGUUUCAUGAUUUUUGGUAAUGCCCUGACAUUUUUAAUAAAGCCCUGAAGUUACAAAAAAAUAGAAAACAAAAAACAAUUUAGAAGGGAGAGAGAGAACGCCUACCUGGGCCACUUACCUGGCCGGCCCACCUGGCAGGCCCAGCACUGUGCUGGCCCGUGCCAGUCAGCUGCUUCCUCUCGCCAGGCAGGCAAAGAGGUGAGCGCCAGCGUGCUCGAGCUCGCCACGCCGUCACCUGCUUGUCGCCGAGCCGCUGGACGCGUGGAUGAGUUCCUCCUCGUCGCCCCGCACCCCCUGGAACCCCCUCGCUCACUGCCUCGUCCCCAUCCCCUCCUCUGGUUCUCUCCCCUGCAUCGUCCGAGCGCCGCUUGCCGUCGCCGUAGCUACCGCCCACGCCAAGCCCCAUUUCCGUGUUCCACUGGUCCGCCAUCGAUCACCGCCUCACCAAGCCGAAGGACACACCGCCGGAUGCCCUGUGACGACGCCUCCAAGCUCAUCACCGCCCGGACUUCGCCCGUUGUUCUCCGUCGUCCCUGCCUCCCCGAGCUCGACGCCUGUCUCAUUAGAACCGCGGUGAGCUGCUGACCAUUUCCCCUCUGUUCCCUUGCUUUCCCCCGCCCUCUAGUCGCCGCCGCAAGAUCACCCAAGCUCCGGCCGCCGCCAUGGCCGGCGAGCCUUGCGCUCGCGAGCUCCUCCGCUCAAACCCGCCGCACGGUUGUGCUCCUGGAGCUCCCAGGAGUCCAGAGAACCCCUUUGGCCAGCCGCUAGCACUCCGUAGCCUCGUUCCGCUUGACGUCCGAACACCGGCCGCCGCGCUUGUCAUCGCCGGCGACGAUUCCGGCCACCAUAGGCUCGGCCUCCUCCACCACUCGACGCGCGCCUGCAAGAGCUCUCCAACAAGCCCAAGAACGGCCUCGUCCGUGCCCUGUGGGCGUUUCCCGAGCCACGCCGCCGUCUCGGGCCUCGCCGGCGUCGAAUCGCCGGUGGGUUUGACCCACUUUGACCCCGGUCGGGCCCCACCUGGGUCACUGACAUGUGGGGCCGGUACUAGCUGGAUUAGUUAGAUGUUAGUUAGUGGUAAUCACCACUGUUAGGUGCUAAUCCUCUCGCUAAACUAAACCUGAGUCACUGACAUGUGGGCCCAGCCCCGCUGACAUUUUCGUUAGGAUUAGUUUAACCCUAAUCAACUUAGUUAACCAACUGAGUCACUGACCAGUGGGCCCCACUAGUCAGGUUUGACCUGGCGGCGCCUGUUAACCUGCUAAGGUCAGCAUGACCUAAUGCUGACGCAGUAAACAUUUCUGGAAUUAAAGUAAAUCAGAAAUGAUUUAUAAAUUUCAAAAAAUGAUCUAAACUUCUAAAAUUCAUAGAAAAUCAACCGUAGCUGAAAUAAUUUAUAUAUGAAAAAUGAUCAGAAAAUCUAAUCUAUCCAUCUGCACUGGUUUCAUGCAUGUUAGAACACAUUAACCUUGUUGUUUAGGUGAAACAAGUUAAUGCACUAUUAUGACCUCUUAAAAUGGGUUUGCAUUUGAAUCUUUGGUUCAAAUGGACUCAUCUCAAUAUGUUCUAGCUUGCAUUAGCCAAAACACAUUCUUAUUGCCAUGUCAUAGCAUGCAUCAUAUUGUGCAUUGCAUUGAUCGUGUUUCUUCUUUGUUUGCCGGUGUUGUUCCCCCUUGGUAGACGUUGUGCCGACGUUGUGAUCGUUGACACUGAUGAAGACUCAAUGCUAUCUUCAGAAGUGCCAGGCAAGCAAAAACCCCUUGUUCAUUCUGAUACAAUCCCACUCUCUCUCCUGCUCUCUUUUAUUGCAUUAGGACAACAACGAUUCAUCUGUUACUUGUUGCGGUAGUUGAACCCCUUUCCUCUGCAUGACCUGUCAUUGCCACAGUAAAUAGAUGAAACGCACUAGCAUGAGUAGGAGUUGUUUGAGCCCUGAUGUGCCUACUCAUUCAUGCUUGUUUGUCAUGCCUGCUACUGCUUAGAGUUGAGUCAGGUCUGAUUCAUCGGGGAUGAAUCGGAGGUGUGUAAACAUGUCCUAUUAUGUGUGACCUAAGUGUGUGAACACGAUUUGGUAAAGGUAGCGGUGAGAGGCCAUGUAGGAGUACAUGGUGGGUUGUCUCAUUGAAGCCGUCCUCAGGAACUGAGUUCUGUGUUUAUGGUCCAUGAAACAGUUACUACCACGCAUUGGGCCCGAAACCAAUGGACCCUCUCGGCUUCUUAAUCACCCUUGUCCUCUGUCCAGGAGUUGCAAGUAGUUUCUGGUGUUUGUAGUAUGCUGGAGGCUGUGGGCAGCGCUGACUGGAGGGGUGGGCUGUGAUGCGGUAGGCACGUGGCCGGGUAUACCAGGCGCCAGUUUGGUGUCACGGAACCCUGUACACAUCGUUUUGGGCUGUGAGCGAAACCCCGGCCGGAUAUCCUCGCGGAUGGAACCCGAAUAGGCGAUAAACCUAGACUAGAGACUUAAGUGUUUAGGUAGGUCGUGGCCGACACCCUCACUGGGCUUCCGCUUGAAGGUUGCCGAGUACAUGUCGUGUAAACGGCGGUAAGUUGUGAGAGCGUGUGUGAAGAAGUACACCCCUGCAGGGUUAACAUCAUCUAUUUGAAUAGCCGUGUCCGCGGAAAAGGACUUCUGGGUUGCCUAUACAGUUCAUAGACAAGUGAAAAUUGAUACUCUAAAAUACGCAAGAUAAGUGUGAGUGCUAUGGAUGGCGUUCUCGUAGGGAGACGGGAGCGGAUCCAUAGUGGUGUAUUGAUAUGGUGAAUAUGUGGACUCGUGUGCGCCACCUCAAAAGAGUUACUUGCAGUCGUAGUUUAGGAUAGCCACCGAGUCAAAGCUGGCUUGCUGCAGUUAAACCCCACCAUCCCCUUUGUUGAUAAUGAUGCAUAUGUAGUUAGUUCUGAUGUAAGUCUUGCUGGGUACAUUUGUACUCACGUUUGCCUAUUUUAUGUUUUUGCAGAGAGACUUCAGUCUCGCUAGUAGUUCCAUGUGGACUUCGACGUUUAGCUUGUUACCUCAGCUACGAUCUUGUGCCCUCGGCAGGAUCUGGUAGAUAGUCAGGCUUUUUAGCCUUUUUCAUUUGUAGAUGUCUGUACUCAGACAUGUUAAGCUUCCGCAUGUGCUUGAUUUGUAUGCUCUGAAUGUUGGGUCAUGAGACCUAUGUUUAUAAUAUCUCGCUCGUCGGAGCCUAUUGAAUAAAAUACUUGAGUCGUAGAGUCAUGUUGUGAUGCCAUGUUGUAUUUGCACAUAUCGAGCAUAUUGUGUGUAUGUUAUUGAAAUGCUUGGUAUGUGUGGGAUCUGACUAACUAGUUGUUUAUCCUUAGUAGCCUCUCUUACCGGGAAAUGUCUCCUAGUGCUUCCACUGAGCCAUGGUAGCUUGCUACUGCUCCGGAACACUUAGGCUGGCCGACAUAUGUCCUUCGUUCCUGUGUCUGUCCCUUCGGGGAAAUGUCACGCGAUGAAUACCGGAGUCCUGUUAGCCCGCUAUAGCCCGGUUCAUCGGAGUCCUGCUAGCCCAGUGCUAUAGCCUAGAUUCACUCGCUGAUGAUCGACACGUUCGAUGCUGGGUCAUGGAUGCCUGUCCCUGUAAGUUUGUGCCACUUUGGGUUUACGACUAGCCUUGUCAGCCCGGACUCCUUAUCAUAUAGAUGCUAGCGACACUAUCAUAUACGUGUGCCAAAAGGCGCAAACGGUCCCGGGCAAAGGUAAGGCGACACCCGUGGGAAUACCGUGCGUGAGGCCGCAAAGUGAUUUGAGGUGUUACAUGCUAGAUCGAUGUGGCAUUGAGUCGGGGUCCUGACAGCUUUGGUAUCAAAGCCUGACUGCCUGUAGGAUUACCAAGCCAAACUGGUCGAAGUUGUGUCUAGAAAUGCUUUAGUUAUGUAAGGGAAUUGAUUGUGGAAGGGAACGUAAGGCUCUUUUUACUCCUUAUACCUUAUGGCCUUCUGAUCCGAGUCAUCCUCUUCUCUUCUACGGGGUUUAAGAACUAGGCCUUCUUAUCUAUCUAUCAGGAUGACGUGUUACUAAUCCAGACUUAUGAGAUUGUUGGUUUUACGCCCCAGUUCAGUUUAUACUACUUUCGUGUGUCCAUAGUUGGUCUCGGAACCUUGAUUUUGUGCUUCUGAGUGGUUAUGCCACCAUUUUCGCUAGAUGUCUCAAAUAUUUUUGAGCAUUUACAGCUGUUAUGCUGUCCGAGUCAUCCCAGGUUUCUAAACAAUCUGAUGCACUUGCAAAUCAUUUCCCUCUGGUGUUUAUGUUCCUUUGGGCCAGGUUAAUCACACUAAUUGCUGAGCUGAGGUAUUCUAUUACCUCGACUUAUAUGUUGGAGUUAAUAUUAUGACCCUAGGUGUCUUAGAGAACCACCUAGUAAUCUAGCCAUGUUUUGUGUUCUCGGUGUGAUAAUUCUGGCCUUUAUUCUCGAAAGCAUCCCGUGAUGCCAUUUAGUAGUAGGUAUUCUACUCCUGGGUUUUCUGAACCCGAGAUUUCCCUACGUACUUCAUGUUGUUAGUGUUGCUCGUACCUUUAGGAUGUUAGUAACCAUUGCGAUAGUCCUCGAGGUCCGUGGUAUUUCCUUCUUUCAAAUACUAUGAACCACUUAUGGCAGAAGUUCCUCGCUGAACCGAAAGAUCACAACCAGAGUCCUCUUGAUGAGUUCUCGAUUCCAUGUUGUAACUCUGCCAAUCCUACCUCUCCGCAUGGAUUAUCCGAAAGAAAUUUGUUGAACUUGGUUCGACAUACUAAUCUAUGCAUCCACAACUCAGAAAAUCAUAUGUUCCUUUGAGUUGUCCCCCUUUAGUUAUACCCUGACCUUCAUCUAUCGAUUGAUAGUCAGGAGUAGUCGUGCAUUCGUGUUCAUCGAUGCCUUUUACUUCUGUGGUCCGUCAAGCCAUUCUAUCCGGAAUGACUAGGAGAAACAAACUCCAGUACCUCAUCCAUAUCCAGGAUUGCGUCAAAGCAGUUGUACUCCGCAGAUCAAAAUUAAUCAAGCUUUUGAUCCGUUCUACUCUGAAGUGUUACCCUCUUUACGUCAGGAUCGUCAUGAGAAUUGCACUAUCUCUUAUGAAUUCUUGAUGCAGUGAUACUUCUUGCCAUCAUUGUUCAUUUCUCGGUUCCCGUGUUGUUGCAACCGGAAUGCCGACGGGUGAACUAUGAUGUGUGAAAUCAAUACUCCUGGCAACUUUGUUGCUUGGUAGUUAAAGGACAAUAACCUCAUUCUUAGCAUGUUGGUUAUUGAAUCAUCACCAUAAGGAUGAUCGUGCUACCUAGUCCUUAGUUCCGGUGCAGUCUCCGACCAAUGAGUUAGGAUAGUGCCAAUCCUUGCUUAUUUGAUCAUAUCGUCUUGCCUGAAAAGCAAGAUUGUUCUCAAGCUUAGUAACAUAUCAAUGGUUCGUGAUUUUUCGAAUAUCUCCUCGAAAGUAUCACUAGGUCGUUACCCGACGGUUAUGUUGAGCUCGUGAUCAAGUUGGUUUCAUAUAAACCACCCCUUCUCCAAGAAUCUGUGUUGCAUACCCCUGAGCUGUUUGGUUAAGCUAAACAACAACUUGGAGAGUUGGAAGAUGGAAGCUCGUCUGAUUUAGUUCAUCUUAAGGGAUAUCUUUCUGUGUGUGUGUGUGUUGAAGAAAGAUGAUAUCUUCAUCAAUUGGUCCUUGUGAUCAGUUGUUGUACCUUUUUUCAUGCCAAAACUUUGAUUUGAGUGUGGGCUAUCGUCAAAUCAAAUCAGAACCAACGAUAUUUGUAAUGUUGUCUUACUCGUGGUUGGUCCCUUGAGCAUACACCAUUAUAUCUUUUGGGUCUGACCAAUGCUAUCACUUGUUCACAUAAUUAUGGAACUCCAUCUUCAUGGAAACCUGGAUGAAUUAUUGUUGAGCCCAUUGACAACAUCCUUAUCUCCUCCAUGAUCGUGUUGAACAUCCAGCUAGUAUUGGAAACUUCUAUAAGCAUUUCUUCAUGCUAGCUCAUGAAGCAUAUGUUCGGAUGUAAGAAGUGACUUUCUCCAGCUCAUGUGCAAUUGAUGUAAGUUGCCGCCGUGAGUUCGAGAAAGAUUGUUUUUGCUUCCUUGGAAUCAUCCCAAGUUAGUCACACAUGUGCGAAGUGCUCUAUGGUUUGAUAGGUUGGCCGCCUCCAUUCUAUAUGUGUUUCCUAGCACACCAAGCCACUGAUUGAUUUGUUCAGGGAGAAGAAGUUCCGUCUUAAGAAUCAUGACUUAUGCUAGGACUUCGUUAUCCUCGAUGAUGGUUCCCCCAACCUGAACUUGGUAGUAUUUUAUUAUAAGACUACCACGUGGUCAUGCUUGUCUGAGACAGCAUGUUCACAUAUGUGUAGCAGAACCAGCUCAUGUUUUGGAGCUUACUAUCGUAGUUCAUUUUCCGAGAAUCUCGCAACGUCAUCUCGUCGAUUUGUGUGGCAAACUUUCAUUUUUCUUUCCAGGCUCGAUGAGUCUGGAUUAUUUUUACACCAACCAUAUCUGAAUCUCAGGCAGAUAUGAUGGUUGGAACGUUUCCCAAGAACUAUAAUAUUGGUCUUUCUGUAACCCGGUAAAGUGGAUGUCGUGGCCAACACACCCAGCCGGAAGACCUAUUAUUGUAGAAUCUUGAUUGAGGAAGUUGGCCACCUCCCCAUCAGGAUUUCGUAGGAUUUACUCCAGAAGUUGUUCUUAUGGAUUCUUUGUAUUCCGAAGUCCGACCACUACUUGAUGGCUAUGUUGAUGCUUUAGGCAUGACCAUAGUAAAUAGUACAUCAAGGAGAACAUUAGAAGCGGAGUGCUAAAUGUCUCUCGGUCGAUUAUCCGGAUUUCGUUCCCUUGGCCUCGUUAAGGUGAAAUCUGAGAAAGGGUUGUCUUUCUACGCAUCUGCAUUGUCCAUCACUAUUCGUCAAGGUAGUAAGAUGUGUUGCCAGGAUCCUUGUCUCGGAUAUUGGUAAAACCUUGAUGAAUGUGCAAAUGCUCAAGUUCUUGAGAGCACGCACAAGCACUAGGUAUUAUCACCAGCACUAACUGGGAUUGCUCCUAGUCUUUUCGGUUAUGCUAUAACCACUCCAACAAUGGAAUCACUCUCUACUAUUGAGCCUCUCCCCAGUGACCAGAGUCAUUCCCAACAUUUGCAUUUUGUUUCCAACUAGCACUUGCCAUUGUGCCAUUCUACCUUGGGUCCCGUCUAUUGCCGAUGAUAAACAAAAUCAUCUAUGGCAUUGUCUUCAACAAGGUAAUCCACAUCAUCCAUUCUGGUCCGAGUAUACCAUUCUACCCAACCCCUCCAAACAAUCGCUCGAGAAUUGCCUUAGGCUGGUAUAAAGAGUUUCAAUGAUCUCUGAAUCAAAGGUAAUUCUUUUUGCCACUUAGGGUAAUAACUCCACGAAUCACCCUCCUCCAAGAUGUUCCGUUAUGGUAUCAUGGCAACUCAACUCCUCGCUACGUUGACAACCGCUCACCACCUUCUUAAGCGUGAAUUUGUUGUCUACCUAGUGAACCUCCGUCGUCUGUUCCACUUCAUUCCUCUAGAUGCGUGCUUCGUGUCUCAGCUCGAGAGAUGUUUUUAUGACUCACCCCGUGAGCUGAUCCUAAGUUGUUUGAUCUUCGAGAAGAUCGAUCCUUCUAGAAUUUUCCCUUUCUACCGUUGUCAUAUUAGAUGUAGUUCCCAAAGCAAGACGUCGAGAUCAAGGUGAUGCAAAGAAUCAACAUCCUCGAGAAAGACAUCUGGAUCAUGAAGUUGUGUUAGCUUGUGUCCCCUUUGUCUUCUUACCUCACGUCUUGAAUCUCGGGACGAGAUUCUUGUUUAGUGGGGGUGAGCUGUCACAGCCCUAGCUUUAGCUUUGCUUGUGAGCUAGUCAUGUGUUGCAUCAUGUUUAAAUUUCAGUGAAACUUGAAAUGGGGAUUGCCUAAACCCUAGCAUCAAAGGAAUUCACUAGGUUCAACUAAAAUAUUUUCAGUGAACCCAAAUGGCUUCCAAAAAUGUUCAUCAUUUCUGGAAAAUACUAACCAGGGGUGUUGCACAUUUUUCCAUGACAUAUUUGGGCUCUGAAUAAAAUCUUAUAAUAUUUGCAUUUGGGCAUUUAAAUGCUAUUAAAUAUUUUAAAUGCUAAAAUAAUCAUAAACUAAAAUGUUUACUGUUGGAUAUAUUCCAAACAGUAGUCAUGAUUAGUUUCAUGAUUUUUGGUAAUGCCCUGACAUUUUUAAUAAAGCCCUGAAGUUACAAAAAAAAUAGAAAACAGAAAACAAUUUAGAAGAGAGAGAGAGAACGCCUACCUGGGCCACUUACCUGGCCGGCCCACCUGGCAGGCCCAGCACUGUGCUGGCCCGUGCCAGACAGCUGCUUCCUCUCGCCAGGCAGGCAAAGAGGUGAGCGCCGGCGUGCCCGAGCUCGCCACGCCGUCACCUACUUGCCGUCGAGCCGCUGGACGCGUGGAUGAGUUCCUCCUCGUCGCCCCGCACCCCCUGGAACCCCCUCGCUCACUGCCUCGUCCCCAUCCCCUCCUCUGGUUCUUUCCCCUGCACCGCCCGAGCGCCGCUCGCCGUCGCCGUAGCUACCGCCCACGCAGAGCCCCGUUGCCGUGUUCCACUGGUCCGCCGUCGAUCACCGCCUCACCAAGCCGAAGGACACACCGCCGGACGCCCUGUGACGACGCCUCCGAGCUCAUCACUGCCGCAUCUGUCACCGGACUUCGCCCGUCGUUCUCCGUCGUCCCUGCCUCCCCGAGCUCGACGCCUGUCUCAUUAGAACCGCGGUGAGCUGCUGACCAUUUCCCCUCUGUUCCCUUGCUUGCCCCCGCCCUCUAGUCGCCGCCGCAAGAUCACCCGAGCUCCGGCCGCCGCCAUGGCCGGCGAGCCUUGUGCUCGCGAGCUCCUCUGCUCAAACCCGCCGCACGGUUGUGCUCCUGGAGCUCCCAGGAGUCCAGAGAACCCCUUUGGCCAGCCGCUAGCACUCCAUAGCCUCGUUCCGCUCGACGUCCGAACACCGGCCGCCGCGCUUGUCAUCGCCGGCGACGAUUCCGACCACCAUAGGCUCGGCCUCCUCCACCACUCGACGCGCGCCUGCAAGAGCUCUCCAAUGAGCCCAAGAACGGCCUCGUCCGUGCCCUGUGGGAGUUUCCCGAGCCACGCCGCCGUCUCGGGCCUCGCCGGCGUCGAAUCGUCGGUGGGUUUGACCCACUUCGACCCCGGCCGGGCCCCACCUGGGUCACUGACAUGUGGGGCCAGCACUAGCUGGAUUAGUUAGAUGUUAGUUAGUUCUAAUCACCACUGUUAGGUGCUAAUCCCCUCGCUAAACUAAACCUGAGCCACUGACAUGUGGGCCCAGCCCCGCUGACAUUUUCGUUAGGAUUAGUUUAACCCUAAUCAACUCAGUUAACCAACUAAGUCACUGACCAGUGGGCCCUACUAGUCAGGUUUGACCUGGCGGCGCCUGUUGACCUGCUGAGGUCAGCAUGACCUAAUGCUGACACAAUUAACAUUUGUGGAAUUAAAGUAAAUCAGAAAUGAUUUAUAAAUUUCAAAAAAUGAUCUAAACUUCUUAAAUUCAUAGAAAAUCAACCGUAGCUCAGAAUGAAAUAAUUUAUAUAUGAAAAAUGAUCAGAAAAUCUAAUCUAUCCAUCUGCACUGGUUUCAUGCAUGUUAGAACACAUUAACCUUGCUGUUUAGGUGAAACAAGUUAAUGCACUAUUAUGACCUCUUUAAAUGGGUUUGCAUUUGAAUCUUUGGUUCAAAUGGACUCAUCUCAAUAUGUUCUAGCUUGCAUUAGCCAAAACACAUUCUUAUUGCCAUGUCAUAGCAUGCAUCAUAUUGUGCAUUGCAUUGAUCGUGUUUCUUCUCUGUUUGCCGGUGUUGUUCCCCCUUGGUAGACGUUGUGCCGACGUUGUGAUCGUUGACACUGAUGAAGACUCAAUGCUAUCUUCAGAUGUGCCAGGCAAGCAAUACCCACUUGUUCAUUCUGAUACAAUCCCACUCUCUCGCUCCUACUCUCUUUUAUUGCAUUAGGACAACAACGAUUCAUCUGUUACUUGCUGCGGUAGUUGAACCCCUUUCCUCUGCAUGACCUGUCAUUGCCACAGUAAAUAGAUGAAACGCACUAGCAUGGGUAGGAGUUGUUUGAGCCCUGAUGUGCCUACUCAUUCAUGCUUGUUUGUCAUACCUGCUACUGCUUAGAGUUGAGUCAGGUCUGAUUCAUCGGGGAUGAAUCGGAGGUGUGUAAACAUGUCCUAUUAUGUGUGAGCUAAGUGUGUGAACACGAUUUGGUAAAGGUAGCGGUGAGAGGCCAUGUAGGAGUACAUGGUGGGUUGUCUCAUUGAAGCCGUCCUCAGGAACUGAGUUCUGUGUUUGUGAUCCAUGAAACAGUUACUACCACGCAUUGGGCCCGAAACCAAUGGACCCUCUCGGCUUCUUAAUCACCCUUGUCCUCUGUCCAGAAGUUGCAAAUAGUUUCUGGUGUUUGUAGUAUGCUGGAGGCCGUGGGCAGUGCUGACCGGAGGGGUGGGCUGUGAUGCGGUAGGCACGUGGCCGGGUAUACCGGGCGCCCGUUUGGUGUCACGGAACCCUAUACACAUCGUUUGGGGCUGUGAGCAAAACCCCGGCCGGAUCUCCUCGCGGAUGGAACCCGAAUAGGCGAUAAACCUGGACUAGAGACUUGAGUGUUUAGGUAGGUCGUGGCCGACACCCUCGCUGGGCUUCCGCUUGAAGGUUGCCGAGUACAUGUCGUGUAAACGGCGGUAAGUGGUGAGAGCGUGUGUGAAGAAGUACACCCCUGCAGGGUUAACAUCAUCUAUUCGAAUAGCCGUGUCCGCGGAAAAGGACUUCUGGGUUGCCUGUAUAGUUCAUAGACAAGUGAAAGUGGAUACUCUAAAAUACGCAAGAUAAGUGUGAGUGCUAUGGAUGGCGUUCUCGUAGGGAGACGGAGCGGAUCCAUAGUGGUGUAUUGAUAUGGUGGAUAUGUGGACCGUGUGCGCCACCUCAAAAGAGUUACUUGCAGUCGUAGUUUAGGAUAGCCACCGAGUCAAAGCUGGCUUGCUGUAGUUAAACCCCACCAUCCCCUUUGUUGAUAAUGAUGCAUAUGUAGUUAGUUCUGAUGUAAGUCUUGCUGGGUACAUUUGUACUCACGUUUGCCUAUUUUAUGUUUUUGUAGAGAGACUUCAGUCUCGCUAGUAGUUCCACGUGGACUUCGACGUUUAGCUUGUUACCUCAGCUACGUUCUUGUGCCCUCGGCAGGAUCUGGUAGAUAGUCAGGCUUUUCAGCCUUUUUCAUUUGUAGAUGUCUGUACUCAGACAUGUUAAGCUUCCACAUGUGCUUGAUUUGUAUGCUCUGAAUGUUGGGUCGUGAGACCUAUGUUUAUAAUAUCUCGCUCCUCGGAGCCUAUUGAAUAAAAUACUUGAGUCGUAGAGUCAUGUUGUGAUGCCAUGUUGUAUUUGCACAUAUCGAGCAUAUUGUGUGUAUGUUAUUGAAAUGCUUGGUAUGUGUGGGAUCUGACUAACUAGUUGUUUAUCCUUAGUAGCCUCUCUUACCGAGAAAUGUCUCCUAGUGCUUCCACUGAGCCAUAGUAGCUUGCUACUGCUCCGGAACACUUAGGCUGGUCGGCAUGUGUGUCAUUCGUUCCUGUGUCUGUCCCUUUGGGGAAAUGUCACGCGAUGAAUACCGGAGUCCUGUUAGCCCGCUACAGCCCGGUUCACCGGAGUCCUGCUAGCCCAGUGCUACAGCCUGGAUUCACUCGAUGCUGGGUCAUGGAUGCCUGUCCCUGUAAGUUUGUGCCACUUUGGGUUUAUGACUAGCCAUGUCAGCCCGGGCUCCUUAUCAUAUGGAUGCUAGCGACACUAUCAUAUACGUGUGCCAAAAGGCGCAAACGGUCCCGGGCAAAGGUAAGGUGACACCCGUGGGAAUACCGUGCGGGAGGCCGCAAAGUGAUAUGAGGUGUUACAUGCUAGAUCGAUGUGGCAUUUAGUCGGGGUCCUGACAAAAAUUAUCUAUUUCUUACUUUCCAGUAGUGAUCAUCCUCGUCCACCCAUACGUCGUCUAGACAAUUAUUAGAGCAUUUCUUUCACAACGUAAAGCAUCGCCAAAAAAACAAAAUAUAGCAUACUAACUUGGUGUUGGUUUCCUUAUCUACUGUUCCGUACAUAUAUAACCAAUGUCUUUGAGUGACCUUUUUUUAUCUGAUAUUGCAUACUUCGAUAUCGCCUGUUGAUGUGCCUUCGAAUGUAAACGUCUAACUACUUUAUCAUCCCCAACAUCCAGGGUGCGAGACAGGACUGAUGUUGCUCAAAUGCAAGCAUAUGUGCCCGUGUUGAAGGAGUUUUGCCCUCUGUCUAUGACUCAAGUGUCAAUGAUGCCUCUCCAUAUUAUCGCUACCAUGUCUUAUUUGUUUUGGUUGCUCAGCAAAUGUUUUGUUGUACAAGAAUUAGACGACACUGGACCUGUAUAAUUAUGGGCUACUCAUGCAGUUUAUUAUUUAAUUUCGAAUGAUGUUAUCUGUUUCUAUUAAUAUCAUAUCAUGUAUUGGAAACUCUUCUCUAAAGUAGUCCUGCUCUAUGUGAACUUUUAAAUGUUUGCAGAGUUUCUGUAUUAAUCCUUGAAAUGUUCUAGUGGUUGUACAAAU